This 274-nucleotide ribosomal RNA is filed under the name uncultured bacterium. Its description in RNAcentral is "partial 16S ribosomal RNA". It matches the Rfam family "Bacterial small subunit ribosomal RNA", at positions 523 to 796 of the family's 1533-position model. The record is from RNAcentral.
AUACGGAGGGUGCGAGCGUUAAUCGGAAUUACUGGGCGUAAAGCGCUCGUAGGCGGUUUGUUAAGUCGGAUGUGAAAGCCCCGGGCUCAACCUGGGAACUGCAUUCGAUACUGGCAAACUAGAGUAUAGUAGAGGCAAGUGGAAUUCCGGGUGUAGCGGUGAAAUGCGUAGAUAUCCGGAGGAACAUCAGUGGCGAAGGCGACUUCCUGGGCCAAUACUGACGCUGAGGUGCGAAAGCGUGGGGAGCAAACAGGAUUAGAAACCCCAGUAGUCC